ACUCGCCACACGCUAGCUUCCAUCUCUCCCGGCCUCGCUUCGCCGUAGGUUGACAGGCGACACGAUUCGGGCCUGCGAGGCUAGGCCGUCGGCGGGCAUCUCCCGUCUCUCCGCCGGCCACGGCGCCGUCUCCUCAGCCCUCCUCUCGCCGGCGGCCGCCGACGACCGGCAACACCCUACAGGUUCCCUCCGGCGAAAAUUCCGGUCUGAAUUCCGGCGAGUUGCUCUUGCAUGCCUAGUCUGGCUCGUACGGGUAUUGUCUAGUAUGGCCUCUGUCUCAACUCCAGCACAUAGCUAUUUCCAUAAUGAUCGUAUUUGAUUGGAUCGUACAAUCCGGCUUCGAUUGUGGUCGUCCUGUUGCCUAAUCUCAGAUUGGAUUGAUUUUUCCUGGGAUUGCUUUACGGAUUCUCUCGAUACUAAUAUUCCAUACCGAUCGUGAUUGAUACAUGCGGUUACGUGAGGUUGUAUUGGGCCGAUGACAACUUAUUGCUGGGUUGAAUCUCUACCGUCCGAUAACUUUUGUAAUCGUAGAAUUUCUGCUACUUUAAUUAGAUAUUAGAUACAGAACCCUAGAAACAAGCCUCGGGAGAGAACGGCGCGGCGAAAAUCGAUCGGGGCGCUCCGCAGCUGCGCAGCUCGAUCCUGCAGGCGCUCCGCGCCGGCCUCCGACUCCGCGGCAGCCGGCGCAUCCUCGGGCGACGCCGACGAGUCCUCAGCGGCGUAGCGAGUCCCCGGCAAGUCUGCGGCAGGUCGUGGCUACUCCAACGAGUCCAACUGCCGCCGCUGGUCCUGCCACCUUCUCCUGACCUCGCCACUCGUCAAGUCGUGAGGCUGGAUUUUUCGCCGGAGGUACCAAUCCACUGGACACCCAUUGGAGUAGAUGAACCACCUCCAUCGUGGGAUCCUGUACUGACUCCAAAAUUUGGUAAGUAACUAAUCCUUGUAUGUGAGUUGUGUUGAUCUACACCUGAUUUUUUCUUUUCAGAAAACUGUUAUAUGCUCAUGCUCCUUUAAUCUUGAUCUUGUCUUUCGUAUAAUGAAAAUUAUUGCUUGUUCUACUGUGCAUUUUUUUAUUACUGCUUGCUUGUCUUAUUUUUCAGUACAAUAUGCCUUAUGUUGCUUGUUCUUGUUUGCUUUUACUAUUAGAAUGGAUCUAGAGAAGGUAGAACGGAUUAAAAAACGGAAAGCUGAUGAAGAGGAUGAGUUUAUUUUCCUAAUGUUUCCAGCACUUUACUUGCAUCUUCUGAAUAGUGAAGUCAAAAUGAAAUAAAAUCUGCGGCAUCCAUCUUUUCUAUAUGGCAAGCGGGGAGUCAGGGAAAUUCUUGGUGGGCAUGUUAAGGACAGUUUGGUUGCUUGGAGAAUGAAACCUUACAUUUUUAGAUGGCUAGCAUCCUAUCUUAGAGAUGGAAGACUAAUAACAGAUACUAGGCUCAAGGCGGAAGAAAAAGUAGCUUUCUUUCUCUUCAUGAUAUCUCACAAUGCCUCCUAUGAAGAUCUUCAAUUGGAAUACAAGCAUAGUGGAUGGUUCUUCAGCAAGUACAUCAAGGAAUUCUUUGACAUAAUUCCAUAUAUGUAGGAUAUGUUCAGAAUGACAGCUAGAACAUGGCUCUCUACUUUCUUGACAAAAACAACUAUUGAUUUGACUUAAUCUAGCUAGGAAAGAUACUAGAGAUUUAUGCUCUAAAGUUGACAAGAGCAUAUAUUUUUCAUAUUAGACACUUGCUGCCCCAAGUACAAAACUGAGUUUAGCGAAGCAUCAUGUUAGGCAGCAGCAGAACAGAACUGGAGCUCCCUUGUUCCUAGUUUGUUUAUCUGCUAGCAUUUCCAUGUUGUUUCUAGUCUGAAUCUGGAAUACUAGUGGCUGUAUUCAGUGAGUCAAUUGAUCAAUCCACUGGAUUGACCUUUCUGAAAAUUUCUGCAGCUCUGUGUGGUUUUGUACUCGGUGAGUCAAUUGAUUAGUCCACUGGAAUACUAGUGGUUGUAAUCAGGGAGUUAAUUUGUGUUAACUCUUAGUUAUCUGGAACUCUGAAACUGAACCAGAAUACAGAAAACUGAAAUAGUAGUUAAUUUGCUGUUUCUGCA
Long non-coding RNA from Brachypodium distachyon (stiff brome), 2082 nucleotides. RefSeq lists it as uncharacterized. Lineage: Eukaryota; Viridiplantae; Streptophyta; Magnoliopsida; Poales; Poaceae. The transcript is spliced from 2 exons. The record is from RefSeq and is a predicted model, not a curated record.